GGCAGAGCCCCAAGAUGGAAAGAGCCUUGGUCCCUGGGUCCCAAGUGGAGGAAAGCCACUGGCCAAUCAAGAACACCUGCCUUGGCCUGUUAUAUGAGGAGGCUGAGGUGUGGGGGAGGAGAGCUUCUGGAGCAGCUGUUCUUGAAAACUCUGUGAUGUGGCGUUGGGAAGACUCUGAGAAGCUCCUGCGAAAGGCAGACCCACCCUGCCCGCUGCCCGGGGACGGUGCUUCCUGCCGCAGCAGCAGUCUCCAUGCUUGGUGGAUGUAAGGUCUGAAGCAGCAGCUUGGGGAGUCCUGGAACGGACUGUGGUGGGGUCCGAGAUAAGAGGGAGCCCUGCCCGUUGUCCACAGCUGCCGUGCAGCUCUGGCUCACCAGCCGCAGCAGACAGGACCCUAACCCUAACCCUAGAACAGGCUGGGGGCUCUGCUGUAGCUCACAGAUGCCGAGGCCCAGCUCCCAUUUGGGGUCAUAAAAUUACACAGCAGUCCUGUGCUCUGAACGGCUCGAGGACAACUCUGCCUCAGCAAUUUCCAGCGCAAAUUUGCUUUUUGUUUGAGUCUGGAAAUAACAGCGGCAGCUUCCCCAGGGCCCAGGAAUCCAGCCACUGGCUCCUCCUGGUUUCUCCUGUCUGUGAGCAAGAUGCAGCCAGGUGCAUAGGGUGGCACUGAGAUUAAGUGACAACGACCUGACUUGGCUACCCCACAGAUGCCAAGACCCCACUCAGAGAGGGUCAGCAAGGACCACCAGGCCUCUCCACACCUCCCCCUGAUCGCACGAGUGGCCUGAAUCCUCCAUGUGCAGCCGAGGGGAGUCUCUUCUUCCAAUUCCAGGCAGCUCUUGGUACUAACCCUGAAGUGGCGAUGACCUGAGCAGCCGGGUCUCGGUGCAGGUCACAUUUAGAGAUUUCUGGUGAGAAUCUUUGCCCAGCUUCCCCGCUCCCUUGGCUGUGGCUACCACCCUCCCUGCCCAAAGUCCGUUCCAAUAAUUCAAAUCCUUCCUCUUCUGCACCCGGCCUGGUUCCUCUUUCUGUCACUUAUGUCCUCGGCCUUUGCUCACCGGUUCCUUCCAAAUGUUCCCUCUCUGAAUCUAGCUGGGUCCUUUCCAUGCCUAGUUUGCAAACAUGUCAGACCUGAUCCCUACCUGCAAGCCCCCAUCUCUCCCAGGGGACCAGGGAGCCCGGGUUUGACAGGUGCAAUGAUCCAGUGCACGUGAGUGCCAGAUGCCCACAGGGAACGCCAGAGGCCAAGGUCUUCCUAGGACUGGCAGCUCCGGAUGGUUCCCAGGGCAGAAAUAACCUGAGCCUGCUGCCCUUUCCUUCUUGAGAGUGACUCAGCAAGAAGCUGGCAGACAGAAACACGAAUCUAGUCCUGGAUCUUGCAGUGGGGGUAGCAGGCAAGGCCAUGGCCUUAGACUGUGCAUGCAGAGAAAGAGGCUAGACGCAGAGUUGGGUGCUGAAAAGAUGCUUAACCUCACUUAGAAUAAGAGAAGUCAAAUGAAAACUGCACCCAGACCCCGUUUUCCACCUAGCAGAUUUGCGAAGAUCAAAGGUUAGAUGCCUCGCUGAGCUGGCAAGCAUGGGAAAGGCGCUCUCAUGCUCUGCUGGCAGGAUGCUGAACCCACGCAGCAGCCAUGGAGGGCAACCAGCAAUCUACUACGCGCACAAAUCCUGUCACCCAGCAAUUCCACUUCUGGAAAUGUGGCGUCCAGCUGGGAAUGCAUAUUUGUGAAACGACCUAGGUGGCACUGUUGACAAGAAGGACAAGGGAUUGGAGAUGUCCUCCAUAGGGGACUGAUUCCACACUUAUGGUAUGCCCUGGUGAUGGAAUACAGUGGCCAGAACAAAGCAUUAAGAGCUGGUGAACAGAUAUGAAGCGUGUCCCAGGGCUAACGCAAAGUGCAAAAACAAAAGCACAGCAAAGCAGGAGAGGAGCAGGCUGUGGGGCCGGCAGGCUUCAAUUCUCAAUGAAGAAAUGGACUGGCAUGCACCAUCUGGUCAAAAAGGCAAAAGAGAUGGGGCUGGCCCCGUGGCCGAGUGGUUAAGUUCGCGCGCUCCGCUGCAGGCAGCCCAGUGUUUCGUUGGUUCGAAUCCUGGGCGUGGACAUGGCACUGCUCAUCCAACCACGCGGGGGCAGCGUCCCACAUGCCACAACUAGAAGGACCCACAAUGAAGAAUAUACAACUAUGUACCGGGGGGCUUUGGGGAGAAAAAGGAAAAAAAUUUUAAAAAAAAAAGGCAAAAGAGAAACAGCCUGUAUGCUCGUCUGGAUGGUGUGCUAAGGGAUAUCAUCUGGAUGGAGACCCCCCAGACUGAUUUCAUCCACUAUACGGGAGCGUUUUCAUGAUGUACCUUUUUAUAAUUUUAAAUUUUUGAACUGUGUGAAUAGAUUACCUAUUGAAGAAGAAAAUACAGUUUGUUUUAAGUUUAUUUUAUUUACUUUUUUUGAGGAAGAUUAUCCCUGAGCGAACAUCUCUGCCAAUCCUCCUCUUUUUGCUCAGGAAGACUGGCCCUGAACUAACCUCUAUGCCCAUCUUCCUGUACUUUAUAUGUGGGACGCCCACCACAGCAUGGCUUGCCAAGCGGUGCCAUGUCCGCACCCGGGAUCCGAACUGGUGAACCCCGGGCCAGCAAAGCAGAACGUGCAGACUCAACCACUGAGCAACUGGGCCGGCCUGAAAAUGCAGUUUAAAAUACGUGGGCCCCACCUCUGUAAUGGAAUGCAAUGACCCCAGAUCUUGAGCGACCAGCAAGUUCCGGGACAGAAGGAGGUGGUGGACGGGAGAGAUUGUUCCGUCUUAAUUCACGUGGCGUGUUACCUUUUACAAAAUGCGUCACUUUUGUUGCCACAGCCAAUGCUCAGCACAGUCCUUUCUUUUUAGAUGAAGAAAAGGAGGCUCAGAGAGGCAAAGUGAUCUUUCAGAAGCCACACAGCAAGUGGCUGAGCCAGGACUUGCAUCUAGGUUUUCCUCCUCACAUGUGUUUUUCUACCUCCCCCUGUGGCUGGAGAGCCCUGGGGGCUCAAGUCACUGCUGUCCCCUUUUCCACCUAGGACAUGAUCCACCCUUCAGUGCACACUGGUCCAGGCACCAGCUGUGCUAUCAGGAUGAUGUCAGAUUCUGGGUCAGCUGCAUCCUCCCUGGGAGACUUUGGGGAAGUUGCUUGUUGGGCCAGCUCUCAGUUGCUUCAUCUGUGAGGCAGGAACAAUAGUGCUACCCACUCCAGAGCGUUGCGGUGAGAGUUUCAUGAGCUAAGGACCAAGAAAACAGUAGCCUAGAAGAACAAACGGGCCAGGCUUCCG
Long non-coding RNA from Equus asinus (donkey), 3298 nucleotides. Lineage: Eukaryota; Metazoa; Chordata; Mammalia; Perissodactyla; Equidae. The record is from Ensembl.